RNAcentral lists this ribosomal RNA (253 nucleotides) under uncultured bacterium. RNAcentral's name for it is "partial 16S ribosomal RNA". It matches the Rfam family "Bacterial small subunit ribosomal RNA", at positions 524 to 776 of the family's 1533-position model. The record is from RNAcentral.
UACGUAGGGUGCGAGCGUUAAUCGGAAUACUGGGCGUAAGGCGUGCGCAGGCGGUGAUGUAAGACAGAUGUGAAAUCCCCGGGCUCAACCUGGGACCUGCAUUUGUGACUGCAUCGCUAGAGUACGGCAGAGGGGGAUGGAAUUCCGCGUGUAGCAGUGAAAUGCGUAGAUAUGCGGAGGAACACCGAUGGCGAAGGCAAUCCCCCUGGGCCUGUACUGACGCUCAUGCACGAAAGCGUGGGGAGCAAACAGG